AGCUCAGUUGGUAACUCAGUCAGUGAGAGUGUGGUGCUGAUAACACCAAGGUUGUGGGUUUGAUCCCCAUACAGGCCA
This is a non-coding RNA of Podarcis lilfordi (Lilford's wall lizard), 78 nucleotides long. Lineage: Eukaryota; Metazoa; Chordata; Lepidosauria; Squamata; Lacertidae. The record is from the annotation of a GenBank genome assembly.